Molecule: ribosomal RNA, 406 nt
Filed under: uncultured bacterium
Lineage: Bacteria
Description: partial 16S ribosomal RNA
Rfam family: Bacterial small subunit ribosomal RNA
Source: RNAcentral
AUUGAACGCUGGCGGCAGGCCUAACACAUGCAAGUCGAGCGAGCGGCGGGCGGGUGAGUAAUGUCUGGGAAACUCCCUGAUGGGGGGGGAGAACUACUGGAAAAGGUGGAGAAUACACCAUACCCUAAGAGGUGCCCCGAGGGGAUUAGCUCGUAGGUGGGGUAACGGCUCACCUAGGCGACGCGCCCUAGCUGGUGUGAGAGGAUGACCAGCCACACUGGAACUGAGACACGGUCCAGACUCCUACGGGAGGCAGCAGGGGGGAAUAUUGCACAAUGGGCGCAAGCCUGAUGCAGCCAUGCCGCGUGUGUGAAGAAGGCCUUCGGGUUGUAAAGCACUUUCAGCGGGGAGGCGUUACCCGCAGAAGAAGCACCGGCUAACUCCGUGCCAGCAGCCGCGGUAAUUC